GACGGGUGAGUAACACGUGGGCAACCUGCCCUGCAGAUCGGGAUAACUCCGGGAAACCGGUGCUAAUACCGAAUAGUUUUUUGCCCCUCCUGGGGCGAAACGGAAAGACGGUUUCGGCUGUCACUGCAGGAUGGGCCCGCGGCGCAUUAGCUAGUUGGUGGGGUAAUGGCCCACCAAGGCGACGAUGCGUAGCCGACCUGAGAGGGUGAUCGGCCACACUGGGACUGAGACACGGCCCAGACUCCUACGGGAGGCAGCAGUAGGGAAUCUUCCGCAAUGGACGCAAGUCUGACGGAGCAACGCCGCGUGAGUGACGAAGGUUUUCGGAUCGUAAAACUCUGUUGUGAGGGAAGAACAAGUACCAACUAACUACUGGUACCUUGACGGUACCUCACCAGAAAGCCACGGCUAACUACGUGCCAGCAGCCGCGGUAAUACGUAGGUGGCAAGCGUUGUCCGGAAUUAUUGGGCGUAAAGCGCGCGCAGGCGGUCCCUUAAGUCUGAUGUGAAAGCCCACGGCUCAACCGUGGAGGGUCAUUGGAAACUGGGGGACUUGAGUGCAGAAGAGGAAAGUGGAAUUCCACGUGUAGCGGUGAAAUGCGUAGAGAUGUGGAGGAAC
RNAcentral lists this ribosomal RNA (619 nucleotides) under Planomicrobium sp. CBMAI 1080. Its description in RNAcentral is "bacterial SSU rRNA". It matches the Rfam family "Bacterial small subunit ribosomal RNA", at positions 100 to 707 of the family's 1533-position model. The record is from RNAcentral. Lineage: Bacteria; Bacillati; Bacillota; Bacilli; Caryophanales; Caryophanaceae.